GAUGAACGCUGGCGGCGUGCUUAACACAUGCAAGUCGAACGAAGCACUUUAUUUGAUUUCCUUCGGGACUGAUUAUUUUGUGACUGAGUGGCGGACGGGUGAGUAACGCGUGGGUAACCUGCCUUGUACAGGGGGAUAACAGUUGGAAACGGCUACUAAUACCGCAUAAGCGCACGGCAUCGCAUGAUGUAGUGUGAAAAACUCCGGUGGUAUAAGAUGGACCCGCGUUGGAUUAGCUAGUUGGUGAGGUAACGGCCCACCAAGGCGACGAUCCAUAGCCGACCUGAGAGGGUGACCGGCCACAUUGGGACUGAGACACGGCCCAAACUCCUACGGGAGGCAGCAGUGGGGAAUAUUGCACAAUGGGCGAAAGCCUGAUGCAGCGACGCCGCGUGAGCGAAGAAGUAUUUCGGUAUGUAAAGCUCUAUCAGCAGGGAAGAUAAUGACGGUACCUGACUAAGAAGCACCGGCUAAAUACGUG
Molecule: ribosomal RNA, 481 nt
Filed under: uncultured bacterium
Lineage: Bacteria
Description: partial 16S ribosomal RNA
Rfam family: Bacterial small subunit ribosomal RNA
Source: RNAcentral